Molecule: non-coding RNA, 55 nt
Filed under: Collimonas arenae
Lineage: Bacteria; Pseudomonadati; Pseudomonadota; Betaproteobacteria; Burkholderiales; Oxalobacteraceae
Description: Guanidine-II sequence
Rfam family: Guanidine-II riboswitch aptamer (mini-ykkC)
About the family: Simpler in structure and has fewer highly conserved nucleotide positions than the ykkC-yxkD leader. Despite this each of its two stem-loop structures directly bind free guanidine.
Source: RNAcentral
GCCUCAGGACGACCUGGCGCCGGAUUCCAUUUUAUUUCAACCGGGGACGACCCCA